Molecule: ribosomal RNA, 731 nt
Rfam family: 5.8S ribosomal RNA (bases 260-415)
GGAUCAUUGUCGAAAUCGAACGGAAGAACGACCCGCGAAUCGUCAUUGCGUAGUAGACAGAGCCCGUGAGCACCUAACGCUCACGGGUCUCGCGUCGCGUCGGCGCGGGUGUACUCGAGACCCGCGUCGUACCGGCGGACAAACAACGUCAGCACGGAUCGUGCCAAGGAGCUGCAUGGAGAGAAUCGUCGUCCCACGCCUCUGAUAGUCCUCGACGCGGGACGGGGGAUGUACGCAAUCUCUACUCAAAAGUCUAAACGACUCUCGGCAACGGAUAUCUCGGCUCUUGCAUCGAUGAAGAACGUAGCGAAAUGCGAUACUUGGUGUGAAUUGCAGAAUCCCGUGAACCAUCAAUUCUUUGAACGCAAGUUGCGCCCGAAGCCAUUCGGCCGAGGGCACGCCUGCCUGGGCGUCGUGAAUCCCCUUGCCCCUAGGCACCCGCAUGAGCAUUGGCGGGGACAAAUGCUCGGGCGCAGAAUAUGGUCUCCCGUGGGAUCGGCAUGCACGGCAUGCCGAGGUGCGGUUGGCCGAAAAUCGAGCAUGGCGGUGACGGGCACCACGGCGUUCGGUGGAUCGAAUGAGAUUGGCUGCGUCGUGGGCUCGGCAUGCGGCGGGCUCCGGACUUUGAAUAUCCCCGAGUGCGAUCCCAGGUCAGGCGGGGCUACCCGCUGAGUUUAAGCAUAUCAAUAAGCGGAGGAAAAGAAACUAACGAGGAUUCCCUUAGUAGCGGC